GGGCUUGUAGCUCAGUUGGGAGAGCGCUUGAAUGGCAUUCAAGAGGUCAGGGGUUCGAUUCCCCUCAGGUCCACCA
RNAcentral lists this transfer RNA (76 nucleotides) under Bacillota bacterium. RNAcentral's name for it is "Firmicutes bacterium (anaerobic digester metagenome) tRNA-Ala". It matches the Rfam family "tRNA". From Rfam's summary of the family: Transfer RNA (tRNA) molecules are approximately 80 nucleotides in length. Their secondary structure includes four short double-helical elements and three loops (D, anti-codon, and T loops). Further hydrogen bonds mediate the characteristic L-shaped molecular structure. tRNAs have two regions of fundamental functional importance: the anti-codon, which is responsible for specific mRNA codon recognition, and the 3' end, to which the tRNAs corresponding amino acid is attached (by aminoacyl-tRNA synthetases). tRNAs cope with the degeneracy of the genetic code in two manners: having more than one tRNA (with a specific anti-codon) for a particular amino acid; and 'wobble' base-pairing, i.e. permitting non-standard base-pairing at the 3rd anti-codon position. The record is from RNAcentral. Lineage: Bacteria; Bacillati; Bacillota.